UCUCAACCUUCCUCAAGCUGCAACACUUU
Molecule: non-coding RNA, 29 nt
Filed under: Rattus norvegicus (Norway rat)
Lineage: Eukaryota; Metazoa; Chordata; Mammalia; Rodentia; Muridae
Source: RNAcentral